GCUUCUAGCAGGCCAAGGGCAGGGCCUGGUCUAGAAUAGAAAGUUGACAGACAACAGAACACCGUGCCUAAGCAGGACUGAGAGAAUGGAAAAACUGAUCCACAGGAGAUCCACCCUGCCAAUUCAGCGGCCGUUGGAGGAAAUGCUUUCAAAAUAGAAUGCGUGGAGCCUGGCAGGCCAGCACAGGAAGACAUGCCAAAGCUUGCAAGCUCCCUAUCAGAGACAGGGUGGAUCCCGCAUGCUAAAUCAUAGCUUUUCGAAAGUGGACCCGGGUGCCAAUGGUGAACUCCAGGAAUGCAAAUGGAUUGUUGAAGUUAAGCACUUAAAGUUUCACAGUCCUUCUACUUGCUUCUGUCACUGAACAGGACCGAUAUUCCUAAAGACAUGAGGCUGGUGAUGUAUUUCUAGAAGAAGCAUCAUAAGCAAGUCAUUGUUUUUGCCUCCUUGACCUUUACCAUCCUGAUGCCAGCAAUUACCCUGUUUACUGCUAUCUAAAAAGAAAAAUGCUGUGUGGAAGGUCUUGUCUACUGUUAUUGGAACAUUUGGAGAAGUCAUGGAAGAAAAAUAAAAGUUGAUUAAUGUGAUCAGGAGAGAGCAAAUGGAGAGAACUUCAAUAGCAAAUUUUUUUCUUAACAUACUAGGUAGUUUUGACCCAAGUCUGUUUGUUAGGCUAUGUUGAAUUAGUGGGUGGCAAGCAACAACAAAAGAUGGUAAGUACUGUGGUUACAACUAAAGAGGGUGGUACUAAGCCUGCUGGUGGUGACAGAUUUCUUUGACUUGGGUAGAUUUCAGAAGAUUGAAAUACAGGAUGACUGGUUUCUCUCAAGCAAGCUUUUUCUAGACUAUCUGAAAUAGAU
Molecule: long non-coding RNA, 857 nt
Organism: Mustela lutreola (European mink)
Lineage: Eukaryota; Metazoa; Chordata; Mammalia; Carnivora; Mustelidae
Exons: 3
Source: RefSeq, a predicted model, not a curated record